UAUUCUUUUAGUAUUAAUUAGUACAGCUGACUUCCAAUCAGCUAGUCUUGGGAGAGCUCCAGGAAAGAAUAA
RNAcentral lists this transfer RNA (72 nucleotides) under Myotis brandtii (Brandt's bat). RNAcentral describes it as "tRNA-Gly". The record is from RNAcentral. Lineage: Eukaryota; Metazoa; Chordata; Mammalia; Chiroptera; Vespertilionidae.